This 508-nucleotide ribosomal RNA is filed under the name uncultured bacterium. Its description in RNAcentral is "partial 16S ribosomal RNA". The record is from RNAcentral.
GGAGUUAGCCGGUGCUUCUUCUGUGAGUGAUGUCCUUCCUGCCGGCUAUUAACCCGCAGGUCCUUCUUCCUCACUGAAAGUGCUUUACAACCCGAAGGCCUUCUUCACACACGCGGCAUGGCUGGAUCAGGGUUGCCCCCAUUGUCCAAUAUUCCCCACUGCUGCCUCCCGUAGGAGUCUGGGCCGUGUCUCAGUCCCAGUGUGGCUGAUCAUCCUCUCAGACCAGCUACGGAUCGUCGCCUUGGUGAGCCGUUACCUCACCAACCAGCUAAUCCGACAUAGGCUCAUCCGAUAGCGCGAGGCCCGAAGGUCCCCCGCUUUCCCCCGUAGGGCGUAUGCGGUAUUAGCCUGGGUUUCCCCAGGUUAUCCCCCACUACCGGGCAGAUUCCUAUGCAUUACUCACCCGUCCGCCGCUCGCCACCAGGGAGCAAGCUCCCCGUGCUGCCGCUCGACUUGCAUGUGUUAGGCCUGCCGCCAGCGUUCAAUCUGAGCCAGAAUCAAACUCUGA